This 1522-nucleotide ribosomal RNA is filed under the name Escherichia coli. Its description in RNAcentral is "bacterial SSU rRNA". It matches the Rfam family "Bacterial small subunit ribosomal RNA". Lineage: Bacteria; Pseudomonadati; Pseudomonadota; Gammaproteobacteria; Enterobacterales; Enterobacteriaceae. The record is from RNAcentral.
ACUCUGGGGGCAUGCCUAACACAUGCAAGUCGAACGGUAACAGGAAACAGCUUGCUGUUUCGCUGACGAGUGGCGGACGGGUGAGUAAUGUCUGGGAAACUGCCUGAUGGAGGGGGAUAACUACUGGAAACGGUAGCUAAUACCGCAUAACGUCGCAAGACCAAAGAGGGGGACCUUCGGGCCUCUUGCCAUCGGAUGUGCCCAGAUGGGAUUAGCUAGUAGGUGGGGUAACGGCUCACCUAGGCGACGAUCCCUAGCUGGUCUGAGAGGAUGACCAGCCACACUGGAACUGAGACACGGUCCAGACUCCUACGGGAGGCAGCAGUGGGGAAUAUUGCACAAUGGGCGCAAGCCUGAUGCAGCCAUGCCGCGUGUAUGAAGAAGGCCUUCGGGUUGUAAAGUACUUUCAGCGGGGAGGAAGGGAGUAAAGUUAAUACCUUUGCUCAUUGACGUUACCCGCAGAAGAAGCACCGGCUAACUCCGUGCCAGCAGCCGCGGUAAUACGGAGGGUGCAAGCGUUAAUCGGAAUUACUGGGCGUAAAGCGCACGCAGGCGGUUUGUUAAGUCAGAUGUGAAAUCCCCGGGCUCAACCUGGGAACUGCAUCUGAUACUGGCAAGCUUGAGUCUCGUAGAGGGGGGUAGAAUUCCAGGUGUAGCGGUGAAAUGCGUAGAGAUCUGGAGGAAUACCGGUGGCGAAGGCGGCCCCCUGGACGAAGACUGACGCUCAGGUGCGAAAGCGUGGGGAGCAAACAGGAUUAGAUACCCUGGUAGUCCACGCCGUAAACGAUGUCGACUUGGAGGUUGUGCCCUUGAGGCGUGGCUUCCGGAGCUAACGCGUUAAGUCGACCGCCUGGGGAGUACGGCCGCAAGGUUAAAACUCAAAUGAAUUGACGGGGGCCCGCACAAGCGGUGGAGCAUGUGGUUUAAUUCGAUGCAACGCGAAGAACCUUACCUGGUCUUGACAUCCACGGAAGUUUUCAGAGAUGAGAAUGUGCCUUCGGGAACCGUGAGACAGGUGCUGCAUGGCUGUCGUCAGCUCGUGUUGUGAAAUGUUGGGUUAAGUCCCGCAACGAGCGCAACCCUUAUCCUUUGUUGCCAGCGGUCCGGCCGGGAACUCAAAGGAGACUGCCAGUGAUAAACUGGAGGAAGGUGGGGAUGACGUCAAGUCAUCAUGGCCCUUACGACCAGGGCUACACACGUGCUACAAUGGCGCAUACAAAGAGAAGCGACCUCGCGAGAGCAAGCGGACCUCAUAAAGUGCGUCGUAGUCCGGAUUGGAGUCUGCAACUCGACUCCAUGAAGUCGGAAUCGCUAGUAAUCGUGGAUCAGAAUGCCACGGUGAAUACGUUCCCGGGCCUUGUACACACCGCCCGUCACACCAUGGGAGUGGGUUGCAAAAGAAGUAGGUAGCUUAACCUUCGGGAGGGCGCUUACCACUUUGUGAUUCAUGACUGGGGUGAAGUCGUAACAAGGUAACCGUAGGGGAACCUGCGGUUGGAUCACCUCCUUACCUUAAAGAAGC